CGUGCACGGGUGAGUAACACGUGAGCAACCUGACCCUGUGCGGGGGAUAACCCGGGGAAACUCGGGCUAAUACCGCAUGGUCCUGUGGGUCGCAUGGCCUAUGGGGGAAAGGCGGCCUCUUAGCAAUGCUGCCGUGCAGGGAGGGGCUCGCGGCCUAUCAGCUAGUAUGGUGGGGUAACGGCCCACCAAGGCGACGACGGGUAGCGGGUCUGAGAGGAUGGCCCGCCACAUUGGGACUGAGACACGGCCCAGAUCUCCUACGGGAGGCAGCAGUGGGGAAUCUUGCGCAAUGGCCGAAAGGCUGACGCAGCGACGCCGCGUGCGGGAGGAAGCCCUUCGGGGUGUAAACCGCUGUCAG
RNAcentral lists this ribosomal RNA (358 nucleotides) under uncultured bacterium. RNAcentral describes it as "bacterial SSU rRNA". It matches the Rfam family "Bacterial small subunit ribosomal RNA", at positions 97 to 439 of the family's 1533-position model. The record is from RNAcentral.